This is a long non-coding RNA of Phyllostomus discolor (pale spear-nosed bat), 1025 nucleotides long. RefSeq lists it as uncharacterized. NCBI's taxonomy places the organism in Eukaryota, Metazoa, Chordata, Mammalia, Chiroptera, Phyllostomidae. The transcript has 2 exons. The record is from RefSeq and is a predicted model, not a curated record.
GUACUCUCCUCAAAGCCGAAGCUCACCACCCGCAGAGCCGGCGAAACUUGCCAGAGCGUCCGGCGCGCCCCGAGUCUGCGUGCCGCGCACGUUCGAGUAACACAAGGAGCCUCGACUCGGGCUCGGAGCGGGGUGAUCCCAGGUGCCUCGCCCCAACCGGAGCUCUACAACCAGAGAAUGGGACCACCCUGGGAGCUUUUUGCUUCCUCCUCUGCCUAGCAAUCAUGGCUCACCAGCUCGCUGGGCCACACAGGGCCAUGUCUCCUUCUGGGGCACAGUCACGGGAGUGCUCAGGGGCAGGAGCUGAGGGUGCCGGCAGAAGAGCUGGGUGAGCCAGGCAGAACAGCCGUCUGUGAGUGAGUCACAGUUCCAGAACAACCAGCAAAUGGCCCAGCACCUGCUUGCCCACCCUCACCCGCACCUGCCAGCCUUACCAGGGAGUUUUGGCCACUGUACAGCCCUGGUGGGAUGGGCCCAAACUGAUCACCCCUCCAGAAGAAAGUGACAGAUGUUAAUGCCAGUGGGUCCUGCCCUCCCCGUCAACAUGUCAAGACAUGAAAAAUUAGGGUAAAUGAAGGGUGCACGAUUAGAUUCGGACCCAAGCUGGGUCCUCAGGGGUGCCAGAGACAGCUGCAAACGCACGUCAGGGACAAAUGCCCUGAUGCAGCAGGGGCUGCCAGGCCAGGGUGCCUGGGGACAGCUGGACGAGGUGCUGACACAGGGCUCAUUCCUCUGUGAAGUCGUCCCUCAGCUGCUGGGAGUGCCGCCAGCCCUCGGGCUUGUGUGUGUCCUGGCUCUGGAGCCGAGCUGGAGGGGCUGCGGAUGGGCCCAUCAGGGACUUGGGCCCACCUAAGGGCUCAGCUUGUGUGUGGAUCUGCACAACACUAGCCCCAAGCUUGGGCUGACAGCUCCUCUCAGGGUGCCCCCCAUUUUGUUCACUCCUCCUUUUCUUGGCUCCCUGUCUGGCUUGCCCCGGGUCCUCCUGUAACCAGCCCCAAGCAACUGGACCUCAUCUCAGCCCCUCA